Molecule: non-coding RNA, 3041 nt
Organism: Caretta caretta (loggerhead turtle)
Lineage: Eukaryota; Metazoa; Chordata; Testudines; Cheloniidae
Source: RefSeq, a predicted model, not a curated record
UUUUUUUUGGCAAGAACUAUCUGUUGACCGUUGCAAUAAAUGAGCAGACUGUCCGUGUUGGCUAGCAGGAGGCACUAAAGAUCGUUGGUGAAAGAAGGCAGGCCUGCCUGGGAAAUCUGCCCCUUGCCAACAUUUACAGUUCUCAUUACAAUGGAACAAAUUAUUGUCCUCCUGCCUCGCCUCAGGGCGUCUCCGCGGGGUCCUACAGCCCGCCACUCCCGCUGUGCACACGGUAACAGUUACUCUGUUGAGGAGAGGUUACUCAGGCACGGUGGUAUGUUCCUGAAAAGACACAUCACCCCCAUUCGCAGACCUGCCAAGUCUCCUUCAGUUGGAAGGAGACUCCCUCCUGUAGGAUUAAUUUUAAGGUUGGCUUUAAAGUCUCCCCCUCUUUUGCUGGUGUGAUUGGUCUAUGUGUUAGAAGUCUCCCCCUCUAGUGAUAAGUGAUCUGGAUGAAGCUUCUCCUUGCUCAUGGAGGGUUGUAUAGUGUGUGUGCUAGUGAUUUCUGUUACACACAGGGUGGUGGUGGCUUAUUCUGAAAAAGAACUUGAACGUGUAAUAAGAGUAGAGAAAUUCUUUAUUGGUUUCAUAAUAUUGUAGGUUAUUUCUGAUGCUCAGGGCUAUUACUUUACAGCGUUUAAAAGAUUAACGAACAAAAUUGGUUUUGUUUUUUUUUUUUUAAAGAUAUCUUCCUCAUUCACAUUGUCAACAGUUGUCUGGGAAACAAAAAAAACCCCACACAGUACAUUAUGCCCAUCAAACCCCUGGCCUGCCACUGAAAUACAUAUAAAUGCAGCAAUGGAUGCAUCUUAGGGCUUCUCCCAGGGAAGGGAGAAAGAAAGGCCCCGAUCCUGGAAACACAAAGCUGCCUGCAUUUUACACACACAGUUCUAUUGAAAUCAGGGGGAAUACUCAUAGGCAUAAAGUAACUCGUAUGUGUCAGGCCCUAAUUCUGCAAUUUUUUCCACUCACGAUUCUUCUUCCAUGGAAGAAUUUUCAGGAUCAGGGCCUAAGCUUGGGCCUUUGCCAACAAAAAACAAAGACAAAACCACACUCACAAACCACACAGAGCUGUGCAAAUUUGAAUUUGUAAAUAGUGACUGUUCUAGUGCAGGGGUUCCCAACCUUUUGCUUUUGAGGCCCUCCCUGCCCCUCCCCCCCCGACAUGCUAUAAAAAGUCCAUGGCCCCCUGUGGUAUAACAACUGCUUUUGUACAUAUAAAAGCCAGGGCCUGCGUUAGGAGAUAGCAAGCCGGCCAAUUGGCUGGGGAGCACUGCAAAGCUAAGUUGCUCAGGCUUCAGCCCUAAGUGGUGCAGCUUUAGCUUUCUGCCCUGGGCCCUAGUGAGUCUAAUGUUGGCCAUGCUUUGCAGACCCCCUGAACCCUGCUCACAGCCUCCCCACCCCCCAGGGGACUCCGCACUCCUGGUUGAGAGCCACUCUUCUUGAGGGUUUAAAGACAGUAGUUACAUCAUGAAGUAGGGGGACCAGAUAGCAACUGUGAAAAAACAGGACAGGGGGUGGGGGGCAGUAGGCACCUAUAUAAUAAAAAGUCCCCAAAAAUGGGACUGUCCCUUUAAAAACAGGACAUCUGGUCACCCUACCAUGAAGGGUAUCUUCAGAUCACAUAUGGGUUUGAAAGAUUUAUACAGUCUGACUUGGAAUGGGAUAGGACAAAUCCUUUUCGCCUCCUGCCUCUCCUCAGACUUAAGAUAUUCCCCCACCUCCACCAAAAGGUGUCAAAACAUUCUCAGAACUCUGUUUCUCUCAUUUCUCAGAGUUUUGAUUUGCAUUUCUCACCCCCACUAAAAAAUUCUAUGAAUUGAGCUCUGUGGAGGACACACAGACAAGGAGAGCGUCUGAGAGGUUCUCUCUUGGUUAUUUGGAACUUUCAUUCAAAUCCUACUGAAGAACAAAUUAUCUUCCUUUACAUAGGGAGUUAAAGGACAGAGGCAUCACACGAACCAUGAGGCUAUACCCUGCUAAAUCCUUGGUUUUGCAAAUUCAUGGCAGAGAGUCACCAGUUUCCCCAUAAACACCUGCCAGAGCAACUCUGAAUCUGGAGGUUUGGGGAUCAUGAACUCUGACAUCUUUGACUAGUGGCUCUUGAGGAGAUGAUUAACAACAAGUAUGGCAGAAGAUGGAGAAAACAGCCUGCAGAAUAAGAGCCCUCAAAGGAAUAUUCGGAAGGAUGUGGUGCAAACUUAAUUGUGAUUUUGGACUUUCCACAUAGGUGGGAUUGUGAGAAGUGAAAUUAUGUAUUACAGAGCUGAAACUUCUGGUAUAUUUUGAGGGCUACAAUUAACGCACAAUAUUAUCACAAAUCUCUAAAAUGUUGUUAAUGAAUAGAUUGGAAGAAAUAACAUUUAGUAAAUUACUAAAGAUCGAUACAUGUAAGAGCAAGUGGAGCAUUAUGGGCCACAAAACGAAGACAGAAGCCUCCCAAAUUAUACCCCUCCACAGAGGCCAGCCAUAAAUGCACCCCCUGUGCUCUCUGAGUGCAGGGAUGCUCCCUGCCAUCACCCCCAGGGCACUAGAUACCCCAAAAAGGGGUGUGAGGAGGCAGAACCAAGACCUACACACACUGGGCAGAAGAACUGGUGUCCAUCCAAGGCAAUGUAAGCUGCACUCCAUAAAGGGGGAUAAUAGAGGGUGUGUUCUCUCUUCCCUCUCCCUCAGUGCUCAUAACAGCCCCCAGAAGCAUUGUUUCUCCCUGCAGGGGAGAGCCUCCUGUUGCUUCUGCUAGGACAGUACAGCUCCAGACCAUUCACUAAGUAGGGCUACAGCCCCUAUUCACUCAAGUCAUUUUAGGGGGAAGAACAUUGUCCAUGUUUGUGCAUAUUGCACAAGGCAUGAUGUACCACAAACUCAAUAUUAUGAUGCUAAUUAGGAAGUGCAAAGUCUUGGCACUGGAUCCCAGGGAAUCAGUGAAUUCUAAACUGAAAUGUGUUGUACCUUUUAGAUCUCAUGUGCAUCUCCUUCUCCGAAAUGAACCUUUCCUUUGGUUUGAACAGGUUAUCUCAAUAAAAGAAACAUAUAGUUAA